AGAGUUUGAUCCUGGCUCAGAACGAACGCUGGCGGCGUGCCUAACACAUGCAAGUCGUACGAGAAAAUCCGCUUCGGCGGGUGAGUAAAGUGGCGCACGGGUGAGUAACGCGUGGAUAAUCUGCCUUUAAGCGGGGAAUAACUUACCGAAAGGUGGGCUAAUACCCCAUAAAGCUAUGGAACUCCGGUUUUCAUAGCCAAAGAGAGCCUCUGCAUGCAAGCCCUCACUUAGAGAUGAGUCCGCGUACCAUUAGCUAGUUGGUGGGGUAAUGGCCUACCAAGGCGACGAUGGUUAGCUGGUCUGAUAGGAUGAUCAGCUCUCCUGGAACUGAGACACGGUCCAGACUCCUACGGGAGACAGCAGUGAGGAAUAUUGCGCAAUGGGGGCGACCCUGACGCAGCAACGCCGCGUGAGUGAGGAAGGUUUUCGGAUCGUAAAGCUCUGUCGGGUGGGAAGAAAUGUAUGGAGGUUAACAGCCUUUGUACUUGACGGUACCGCCAAAGGAAGCACCGGCUAACUCCGUGCCAGCAGCCGCGGUAAUACGGGGGGUGCUAGCGUUGUUCGGAAUCAUUGGGCGUAAAGAGCGUGUAGGCGGCUAGGCAAGUCAGAUGUGAAAUCCCUGGGCUUAACCCAGGACGUGCAUUUGAAACUGCUUGGCUUGAGUAGGGAAGAGGGAAGUGGAAUUCCUGGUGUAGAGGUGAAAUUCGUAGAUAUCAGGAGGAACACCGGUGGCGAAGGCGACUUCCUGGUCCUAUACUGACGCUGAGACGCGAGAGCGUGGGGAGCAAACAGGAUUAGAUACCCUGGUAGUCCACGCCGUAAACG
Molecule: ribosomal RNA, 825 nt
Filed under: uncultured bacterium
Lineage: Bacteria
Description: bacterial SSU rRNA
Rfam family: Bacterial small subunit ribosomal RNA
Source: RNAcentral